GUGCCAGCAGCCGCGGUAAUACGGAGGGUGCAAGCGUUAUCCGGAUUCACUGGGUUUAAAGGGUGCGUAGGCGGGUAUGUAAGUCAGUGGUGAAAUCCCCGAGCUUAACUCGGGAACUGCCAUUGAUACUAUAUAUCUUGAAUGUUCUGGAGGUAUGCGGAAUAUGUCAUGUAGCGGUGAAAUGCUUAGAGAUGACAUAGAACACCUAUUGCGAAGGCAGCAUACUACGGAAAUAUUGACGCUGAGGCACGAAAGUGUGGGGAUCAAACAGGAUUAGAUACCCUGGUAGUCC
Molecule: ribosomal RNA, 292 nt
Filed under: uncultured bacterium
Lineage: Bacteria
Description: partial 16S ribosomal RNA
Rfam family: Bacterial small subunit ribosomal RNA
Source: RNAcentral